AUGUGCCCUCUUUGUAAGCAUGCAUAGGAGUCCGCUGCUCACCUACUCUUCCAAUGCCGCUACACGUUGCGCAUUUGGAACGACAUUCUACUGUGGCUUGGAAUGCACCACAUCUCUACUACUUCAUGGUCGGCGAGCGUUUCGGUCAAAGGAUGGUGGAAAGGUAACCUUCAGGUUCGUCUCGGCUCUCCCAAAGCCCUUGCCUCAUUGAUGAUGCUCAUCUCAUGGGAGGUUUGGUUCGAGAGAAACGCUAGAGUCUUCCGCAACGUGGCGGUCCCUUCGGUGGUCAUCAUUAACAAGAUCAAGCAUGAGCUGUCGCCCCUGGGUUUUGGUGGGUGCCAAGCACUUGGGUAUUGUAAUGCCGCGAGAGUAGUUUUUCUUUCGUUUGCCGCUUGCGUCUCCUGUCUAAAACCUUCUUCCUUAAUCAUUGAAAUGAAAGUCUUUUGCCUCGUUUCAAAAAAAAGUGUUUCAGAACGUACGUUCCAAGGUGUAAAGAAAAAAUGA
RNAcentral lists this ribosomal RNA (504 nucleotides) under Triticum aestivum (bread wheat). RNAcentral's name for it is "partial small subunit ribosomal RNA". The record is from RNAcentral. Lineage: Eukaryota; Viridiplantae; Streptophyta; Magnoliopsida; Poales; Poaceae.